RNAcentral lists this long non-coding RNA (232 nucleotides) under Elaeis guineensis (African oil palm). RNAcentral describes it as "long non-coding RNA (EGUI_LNC021581)". The record is from RNAcentral. Lineage: Eukaryota; Viridiplantae; Streptophyta; Magnoliopsida; Arecales; Arecaceae.
CAGCCAUUCUCCACACCCCAGGAGCAAGAAACCCUAGGGUUUCUUGCCGCCAGGUCCAUAAAAGAAAAGAAAAGCAAGGAGGCGCUAGCCCCUUCCCCUUUGCAGUCGCCAGCCAUUUUCUUCUCUCCCUCUCUUGCAGCCACCCAAGCAUCAGGUCCAGGACCUGAAAUCUCUUGAGAAGAGGUUGAUACAAGUCUCUCUCAGAUCUGGAGUUGAUCUGAGGUCGUUUGAG